RNAcentral lists this transfer RNA (56 nucleotides) under Klebsiella pneumoniae. Its description in RNAcentral is "tRNA-Gly". It matches the Rfam family "tRNA", at positions 9 to 63 of the family's 71-position model. From Rfam's summary of the family: Transfer RNA (tRNA) molecules are approximately 80 nucleotides in length. Their secondary structure includes four short double-helical elements and three loops (D, anti-codon, and T loops). Further hydrogen bonds mediate the characteristic L-shaped molecular structure. tRNAs have two regions of fundamental functional importance: the anti-codon, which is responsible for specific mRNA codon recognition, and the 3' end, to which the tRNAs corresponding amino acid is attached (by aminoacyl-tRNA synthetases). tRNAs cope with the degeneracy of the genetic code in two manners: having more than one tRNA (with a specific anti-codon) for a particular amino acid; and 'wobble' base-pairing, i.e. permitting non-standard base-pairing at the 3rd anti-codon position. Lineage: Bacteria; Pseudomonadati; Pseudomonadota; Gammaproteobacteria; Enterobacterales; Enterobacteriaceae. The record is from RNAcentral.
AGUUCAAUGGUAGAACGAGAGCUUCCCAAGCUCUAUACGAGGGUUCGAUUCCCUUA